RNAcentral lists this ribosomal RNA (229 nucleotides) under uncultured bacterium. RNAcentral's name for it is "partial 16S ribosomal RNA". It matches the Rfam family "Bacterial small subunit ribosomal RNA", at positions 568 to 796 of the family's 1533-position model. The record is from RNAcentral.
UGCGUAGGCGGAUUAAUAAGUCAGUGGUGAAAUCUUUCGGCUCAACCGAGAAACUGCCAUUGAUACUGUUAAUCUUGAGUUCGGUUGAGGUAGGCGGAAUGUGUAAUGUAGCGGUGAAAUGCUUAGAUAUUACACAGAACACCAAUUGCGUAGGCAGCUUACUAGACCGACACUGACGCUGAGGCAUGAAAGCGUGGGGAGCGAACAGGAUUAGAUACCCUGGUAGUCC